ACGGAGGGUGCAAGCGUUAUCCGGAUUUAUUGGGUUUAAAGGGUGCGUAGGCGGUUUGAUAAGUCAGCGGUGAAAUAUUUCAGCUUAACUGGAAGGCUGCCGUUGAUACUGCCAAUCUUGAAUUUGGUUGCUGUAGCUGGAAUGUGUGGUGAAGCGGUGAAAAGCAUAGAUAUCACACAGAAUAUCGAUUGCGAAGGCAGGUCACAAAGCUAAUAUUGACGCUGAUGCACGAAAGUGUGGGGAUCAAACAG
Molecule: ribosomal RNA, 251 nt
Filed under: uncultured prokaryote
Description: partial 16S rRNA
Rfam family: Bacterial small subunit ribosomal RNA
Source: RNAcentral